GCACCGGGCUGGCGCUCUACGUGGCCGGACUCAACGCGCUGCUGCUGCUACUCUACCGGCCGCCGCGCUACCAGGUGCGGGCUGAGUGCGGAGGGACCGGGACCGGGCGGGCGGGACCGGUGGACCGGUUGACCCGGACACGGACCAGGCACAGGGCGGGACGGACAGGGUGGACCGGUAGACCGGGACUCCAGACCCGGAUCAGGGUCGGGGUGGACCGGUAGACCUGGACAGGGACGGACGGGUGGACCAGGACCAGGCGGGCUUCGGGCCGGGUGGGCGGAGUAGGUGCGGACCAGGCAGGACAGAGCUAGCUGGCUGCGCCGGAGCAGGGCGAGCCGAGUCCACUGGAGCUGGAGACGAGGCAGAUGAGCCGGGGUCGACGGGAAUCAGGGACCGAUCAGUCAGGGAUGGGGCAGGAUAGCCAUCAGAGCUUGUUUCCUUGGCUUUGUGUUUGGCUGUGGUGUGCUGCUAAGUUUCAGCCAGUCCUCUUGGAAUCACUUUGGCUGGUCCCGGCUAGUGCUCCCCCCACAGCCAGUGUAGGACUUUCCCCUACACUAUGAGUUCAGUCCCUUGAGCCUUCUAGCCUCUGACUUGGAUAUGAACCGUGGCUUCAAGGUACGUGUGCUCGCUGUCUCUGUUCCACUAUUCUGAGUACUUAGUGACAGCUGUCAAUAACCCCAAAAGUCUGUCCCUGGACUCCUUCCUCCUGAAUCACAGCCUGGAGUACACGGUAGCUGCCCUGUCUUCUUGGAUAGAGUUCACGCUCGAGAACAUCUUCUGGCCAGAACUGAAGCAGAUUACCUGGCUGAGUGCCACCGGGCUCCUGAUGGUGGUCUUCGGAGAAUGCCUGAGGAAAGCUGCCAUGUUUACGGCUGGCUCCAACUUCAACCAUGUGGUGCAGAGUGAAAAGUCAGACACCCACACUCUGGUGACAAGUGGGGUGUAUGCUUGGUGCCGGCACCCCUCCUAUGUGGGCUGGUUUUACUGGAGUAUCGGAACCCAGGUGAUGCUGUGUAAUCCCAUCUGUGGCGUGGUCUAUGCCCUGACGGUGUGGCGCUUCUUCCGAGAUCGCACAGAAGAGGAGGAGAUCUCACUGAUUCACUUUUUUGGGGAAGAGUACUUGGAUUAUAAAAAGAGGGUGCCCACAGGCCUGCCUUUCAUAAAGGGGGUCAAGGUGGAGCUAUGACGGGGUGAGGCCCCGUGGGACCGGGGAACCUCUGGCCCUGCGCAGCCUAGGACAAAACUGUUUCAAGUUGGGCACUGCAGAGUGAGUUUUCUUAAUUGUUUUAUAUGUAACUAAUUACUCCUCAGAACGUCACCCAGGACCUAAUGUUGAGAAGACCUUGGGUCCAAAGGAGCCACGGCAGCCGUCUCCUGCACUGAAGUCAGGUGGAGCAAGGAGUGUGUCAAGGUGGCUCGUCCACACUCUUCCACUGUGGCAGGGUGAUGACCCAAGCCACAGUCCUAUGCCCCCUCAGGCCAGAGUGUGUUUGCACGGUGACCAGGAUGCUCGGGAGAGGUGGACACUGCCCUUUGCAGCACUCAACCCACUGGAGGUGUGGUCAGAGUUGCCGUGCUGAAUAUCAGCAUUGGAAAUGCUUUCAUUUAACCCACAGCACAACCCAGCUUUAACCUUCGUCCGCCCAUAAGUGCAUGAGCAUCUGCAUUAGCUCUGAAGACUUCUGCCCUCGGCUCCUCAUACAUUUAAUCACAUUUACACACCAAUUUUAUAAAAAUAGCAGUGUAGAUUCCAAGGGACUCUGAGCCUCCAUGCCUGGGAGUUUCUAAGUCCAGCUUUUACGUGGCAACAGGUAGCACAGACCCUCAGGGUGCUCUGCAGCUUUUGAGUAGCCAUUGAACCUGGGCUGAGGAUGGGGGCCCUGGGUUCUUCUCAGGUCCUGGCCUUGGCUCAGCUGUACCCCUAGGAAGUAAUGUCCGUGCUCAUUCUGAGAAAUGCUGCCCUCCGUGUGUUUGGGAUUGUUCUUAUUUAUCAUAGCUUGUGUUUUUUGUUUCUGUGUUGCAAUGAGUCUGUCAACUUAGUUUCCUGUGUUUUUUCAAAGUAAGCCACCCUCCUGCUGCAGCAGAUGUCUUCCAGAAGGUUCUAGCACAGCCCAUACAUCUGCGGCCCGAGGCACAUUAACCCUCAGCAGUCCACAGCAGAGGGGCCUCGCUGAGUUUCCUUAGCAUCUUUGUUCUGCUGGUCUGGAAGAACCUUUGGCUCUCUCUGUGUUGCGCACAAAAGCUUUGAGAGGUGUAGCUCUUGAUUAAUCCUGGACUGGGCAAGAGCCUGGUCCUGCUGUGAGGCCCUUGCAGAUUUGGUGUGGUUUGCUGUCCUCAGAGCUCCUACUCUGAGAUGUAGAAGUCUUAGUCUGCCAUUCAUGAGCACAGAGUCAUGGGUGGAGAAUCCUGAGUGUCUCAGCUCACACCCAGCGCUUAUAAAGGCGUGCUGUGCUGCGAGGCUGAGGAUCGUGUACCGCGCCUUCCCUGCCAGCUCCAGCAGAAUCCAGAUCAGCCUACAUAGUGCUCUGUGCCGCAGCCAGGUCCUCUCAGACUUGAGAAAACCCUUUUCCUUCUCCCCUGUUCCACUGAGCAGACCCUGCUGGGUUGCAAGUUUAGUGUUCCUGGCCUUCAGACAUGUGGUCACCCUUGAGUACAGCUCCAUCUUCCUCAGAAGACCUCCUUCCUUCACAAGAGCACCGCUGCACAGCAGCACACUUGGUACAUCAGGUCAGACAAGCCCAGGCCCCAACAGUGGCCAUGGUGUUGCUAAGCACACUGGCAGCUUGCUGUACAUAGGCCAGGUCUCCAGCAGGGUACCAAAGCGGGCUUGGUAAUUAAUGCCAAGCUGGAAUUCAGCAGAACAUAAGUGCUCAUGAGUUCUGACUUAGGGCUUCGUGUUGGCAGUGGCAGCAUUGGCGUCUUCAGGAACAAUGUGACAGUUGUGCCCCGAUGGGGGGUGCUGACUUUGGCCACUCACAGUUGGCUGGCUGAAGCAGGACUGCUGUUCUGUGCCACACACAGCAAACUGCUGCUGCUGCUGGGCAUAUUCAGCUGCCGGGUCUGCAGGUCUGUCCCACCAGUACUCAGAGGUCCCUGGGAAGGAAGCCGGGAUGGAGGGUGUGGCUCUGGCCAAGAGGAUGGUGAAGGUUAAUAUGAAGGUUAAUAUGAGUGAGUGCUCAAUAUUGAGAUACUGUAGGACCUUGUCAGGCUGGAGAGAACAGGCAAGUGGCUGGUUCUGUGUUGUAAUGCAGCCAGAGUUGACAGAACCUCGGGGGCUGGGUAAAUGAAUUCUAGCUUAUUCUUGACAUAAUAGACAGGCAUUCUAUCAGCAGGGAGGUGACCCCAGUACCAGUUCCUCCACCAAAACUGUGAGAUUCCAGAAGCCUCAAAGACGUGUGCCCUGGUUUGUAGUAAGCCAGGGAAGGCUCCAGGAGAGCCUCAGGCCAGUCCAGCUGGAAGUGUUCCCCGGGCCACCCGGCCCAUCGCCUCUGCAGCCAGGACUCCACGAUCACUUCCAAACUGCAGUGGUGCUGACCAAGGGUGAAGGUGGGGAUGUGGCCAGAGCACUGCUAAUUACCACGCCCUCCUGUGCUUGGGCCUCCCAUCAGGGUCAGGAUGGCCUCCCUCACAGGGGUGUUAUGGGAAGAUGAGCUGGGUGGCAUAAUGAAAUCUUAGGAUGAGAACCGGGUUUCUGUGUGUUAGAAAGCAGUGUGUGCUAACAUGUGUCCAAAAAAACAUUCUGCCAGCUCGCAAGUAAUUUAUUUUUAGAUUUUAUGGCUUAAUUUUGUUGUUGUUGUUGUUGUUCUAUAUACCAAAGAGGCUUACGGGUUUGCCAGUUACAGUGUGAGGCCAGUUAGUUGGCUCGGAAGCCGCCAGCCUUCGGGACCUGAGGCUUGCAGGCUCCGUGGCAGCCAUGGCUGUUGUCCACACCAAACUGCCCAGGAAUAAGUAUGGUGAUAUGAGUGGAGACAGUCCACACUUCCCAUAGCCAGUCCCACUCGCUAGGCUGCAAACGGGAGGAAAUGGAUUUGUGGCAUCAUCCCCAGCUCUUUAUCAGUGCAUCUAAACUGAGCUGGCUCCAGCCUCCUAGUCCCCUUGAGGGCCGUGAAGUUGUCUUUUUGAUGGAUGGGGAGUGGCUAAUGGCAGCCCUUGGCAUUGCGGGCAGUAAGGCAAAAUGUUGGCAUUGGAUGUUACCCUCCACCUGCCAGAGGCCAGAGAGAGGGAGCCCAGGCCUUGGGACUCUUGGUGAGAUGCUGGAUUGCAUCCUAGGAGACGGGAGGCUACGUUCCAGGGAUGUGGGUGGAGGAAGAUCAGGCCACCCUUCUGACAUUCCCAGGAUGGCAGUCAGCAUUUCACCAGGGACUAUGAGCAUCAUCCCGGCAGGAUCUGGCAGGUGGCUGUUCUCUGCUGCCGUGGACUGGAGAUUAUUUUACCUCUAUGGAUGUAGCCGUAACCGGGGGCAGCAGAAUUGGCUUGCCGAGGCUUUCAGGUAUUAUAAGGGCAGCCAUGUCCUAGGGUUUCCACAGAUGGAGGAGUUGUCAGGAGAUUGGUUUGUCUGCUUGCAGGCUUCGGAGUGGAGGUUUCUGUGUGGAGAGCCGGUACCUUACAGAAAAUAGGCGACUUGGCAGUCAUGGGGCAGGGAGCAUUCAGGAGGCCCUGUGGCUGCUACAAGCCGGUGUGGCAGGGCAGAAAGCUUAACAGCGGUGUCCUUGGUGGGAGCUGCUGCUUGGACCUAGGGUGUCUGUCGCCUUACCAAUUCUUCCCACUUAGUUGCUAACUUGGGGCCACUCAGCCUGAGGGCUCAGCCAAAGCUCCUGGGUUGCCUCCUCUGCAUUCUCCCCUGCCUUAGGUAUCUGCUGCGGCAAGGUAGAGCCCUCAGCCUCCCGAUGGGCAGGGCAGGCAGCUGCGUGGCUGUGAAGCUUGUCCCUCACUGUCCUGAGAGGAGGCAGCCUGUCUGACCCACUGCAAGGAGGACUAUGGAGUGAUCACUGUACUCUUCUUUUUACAUACAGAAAUGUUUAUUUAAAUAUAUUAAAUUGGAUUUUCUUUCACAGAUACUGAAUAUUCUUUCUAAUUCUUAAAUAAAACUGUACUUGGUUUCACU
Molecule: RNA transcript, 5107 nt
Organism: Mus musculus (house mouse)
Lineage: Eukaryota; Metazoa; Chordata; Mammalia; Rodentia; Muridae
Gene: Icmt
Gene name: isoprenylcysteine carboxyl methyltransferase
Exons: 6
Source: RefSeq, marked validated